Molecule: long non-coding RNA, 1045 nt
Filed under: Ananas comosus (pineapple)
Lineage: Eukaryota; Viridiplantae; Streptophyta; Magnoliopsida; Poales; Bromeliaceae
Description: long non-coding RNA (ACOM_LNC011861)
Source: RNAcentral
UAAAAUCAAUAUUUUAAAAUUGUUUCUGCAAUCUAUUUGUUGUUGAACCGAAUUUUGUUAAAUAUGAUUAAAUUUUAUAAUUUUUUAAUUUUUAGUAUAUCUCUGUAAUUGUGGGGGAAGUUCUUUUAUCAGUUUGAUAAAUUUUGAUAUUAUACUUACCCUCGUGAUUUUAUUUUGUUUAUCUUAAUGUUUAGCUUGUAAAUGAUAUUAGUAAAUUCUAAAGUUAACUGACAUAUUAAAUUGAAAUAGAAGCAUGUUAGAUGACUAACCUCUCAUGACAUUAUAAUUUCAGUUUUGUCAGAUUUGAUCAGAAAUUUUGUAGAUUACUUAAUGAAAGGCCUGAACAGGACUAAGCUCUAGAAUCAUCGAGGGGGAUGGGACUUGCCCAUAAUGGGCCUUCCUGCAGUGGGAACCCAACCUUUGUGAUAGGAGAUCCCUUGAAGAAGGUUCAAUGUGGUAAAAACAAGCUGUCAGGUUGGCCAAAGAGCACUUUCUACAAAUUUUAUAUAGGAGCUUUAGCUCCAAUCCCAUCCCUAUGGUGAGUAGUGCUCUGUGUAGUGGAUUAGGUUGAGCUGAUAGCUCUUAAUGGGAUCCAAGACGGUAAUUUUCGCGAGAUGUGACUCUACACACAUCUCUGGAGGAAACCACCUAUAUAAGAGUAUCCGUAUGUGGCCGCGGCUAUAUGAAUGGGCUAUACAUAGAAACUCUUAUGAAAAAUCAAGGUACUGUGCAUGGCCAUUAACGCACAGACCCGCGACGGAGAAUUCUGUACUGUGUGUGUGAUAGUUGAAGUCAGGGACAAAGGAACGUAGUUCAAGACCUGGUUCACUCUAAUUCUUUCUGAUGGAAACUAUUUACACUAAGUAAGGUUAAGUUUCUUAAAGACAUCUUACCUAUUGCAUAGUAUAAACACCCGGUGAUCUAUUCUUUAAUUUGUUUUCGAGUAUAAUUCUUAUUUUGAAAAUUUUAAAUUUUGUGGGGGAUUAUUGAAAAAACUCAAAAUUUUCUAAUAUAUAUUUUUAUUUAUUUAUAUUUAUAUAUUUAU